Chiroxiphia lanceolata (lance-tailed manakin) is the source of this 268-nucleotide long non-coding RNA. RefSeq lists it as uncharacterized. The record is from RefSeq and is a predicted model, not a curated record. The transcript has 3 exons. NCBI's taxonomy places the organism in Eukaryota, Metazoa, Chordata, Aves, Passeriformes, Pipridae.
CUAUCAUCUCAGGCAUGCAGGUACCUCCUCCAACAAUUGUCAUCUCACGGAUGCAGGGCUGUGGAUACCUCCUCCAACCUCCAUCACCAAAGCUUCGAGAGCACCACCCCGAAGAGCGUAUGAUGGGAAACCAGCUCUGUAUUUUCAACUCUACCCUUUACUUUAAUUACUCCAGAUUCAGAUUUGCCAGAAACUUCUAACUCAUGAGUGAAGAAAAGGAACCUGAAAUACAAUCAAAAUGUAACAGUAUUCUGUAUCUAUAAAUGUU